Neoarius graeffei (lesser salmon catfish) is the source of this 4110-nucleotide RNA transcript. RefSeq lists it as uncharacterized. The transcript is spliced from 7 exons. NCBI's taxonomy places the organism in Eukaryota, Metazoa, Chordata, Actinopteri, Siluriformes, Ariidae. The record is from RefSeq and is a predicted model, not a curated record.
GACACUCUUUCACAGCUUUCACUUUUCUUUUCGUCACCACACAAACAGAGAGGGAGAAGUGUUUGAAUGGAUGAGGGAUAAAUAAAAUGCAAACAAUGCUGCACCACGAUGAGAAGAUAAAGAAACAGAGGACGGCUGUUCGACUUGCAUUUGCCUCAGGAAUCGACUAUUAACUAAUUUAGCUCAUCUGGACACGAAGUUGUCCGGAAGAUGGCGGAAACGGGGCGCACGGUAUGUGUUCGCGGACUUCCUGUUGAUAUGGAGCGCGAGCGUCUACAAGAUAAACUGCUGAUCCAUUUUCUGCGCGAGCGGAACGGAGGAGGAGAGAUCUCAUCCAUCAGCAUUAAAGCAGCAGAUCCGUGUGCUCUCAUCACCUUUGAAGACAGCAGAGUUGCUCUCAGUGCGUCCAGUCAUAGACCACAUAUUUUAGAGGUGGAUGGCAGGAUGUAUGAACUUUCUCUGAGUUUUCCAUCGCAGAAUUCACUGCACAUGAACAAGGUAAUCCUUGAUAUGUCUGUGACCAUAGACUGUAAACACUUGCCACGUGCUGAAGAGACUCUAAAAACUCUCACUGAAAAAUUUCCAGACCUUGAUGUUCAUUACAUUAAGCAUCAGAGGCACUGCACCUUAAAGGGACCGUACUCAGAGGUUAAUGAUGUUGUAUCGGACUUGAUAAAGCUCCUUGUAGACUUUGAACCUCCAGGUGAUCAAAGUUUGUUCUUUACCCAAGAAACUGAUAGAGUCCAUUUCCAUCAAAAAGGAAAAGACAACCCUCCAGACCAACCGCAUGGGUUUCACUUGGGUGGAGAUGUUUCUUUGCCUCAGGAAUCCAGGUAUCCAAGUCCAAAAGUGAACAGCGUAAAACCAUCACAGGCACAAACACACUCUGAUGAGAAGAUAAAAGCCUGGGUAGAUGCAGUAGAUGCGGAGGCUCGCUCUCUCAUCAUGGAAGCAGAUGUAUUUGCAUAUCUAUGCAGCAAAAGUGACGAGUACAGGAGUAUAUUGCAAAACCAUGGGGUACAUGUGGUUGACGUUACAUCUGCAGGAGUCACCACACUGUACUUGCAAUCCAGUGCAAAAAUUAAGAGUGGGUCAAAAGAAGAAAAACAUAUGAACCAUGCUUGCAAGGAGCUGAGUCAGCUUUACCAGCAGGUGGAGGGUAAUUUGAGAAGAGUUCAGAUUCCAAGAAAUGUCCUUAACCUACAUGGAGAACAAACUGUAGCAUUCAAGGACUUGGAGUCAUUGCUGCCCAGGGUGCUGCUCAGCUAUGAUCAGACCCACGUUUAUAUUGUAGGUGAGAGCAGUGAAGUCUCUCAGGCCAAACAGAUCCUCCUGUUUGGUUCACCUGAUGAGAACUUGAGAGCAAAGCAAGAAAUCUCACUUCCAUCAUCUCCCUCUUACUCCCCAAUUUCUGAAUCGGAGACAGUGCAGGUUGCCGGAGCAAGCAGUGAAUUGAGUACAAUAACACCUAAAAUGAGAGUCUCUCAUGCUGAGAGAAGAGUAAGGACUGGGGAGGAAUACAAACUGGCUGCUCGAUUUAAGAACUCUGACAUGGGCUUACUGGGGUUUGGCCCUGUAGACAGAGGGAGAGCGAGAGAGCGUCAAGAGUUAACCAAAGGCAGUGACACAUUAACACUGGCAUCAAAUUCUUCCCUUGGUACAGCAAGUACAGUCAAUAAUGACCAGGCCAGGGCUUCUCAGGUUAGUGCUUUCAAAAUCACUGGUGUAGAUAAUGUAGAUGAUGAUAUAUUGUUUCAGAAGAUGGAACCAGUGUCCUAUACAUGCACAUCGAGAAACAACGGUCAGGUCUCAAACAAAACAUUCAAAGCUCUACUUAACACAGCUGUGGAUGCCCUUACAGGGCUUGAAAAACUGGACAAGAAUACAGGCUCAACAUUAGAAUCUACAACCCCCUCUACUUCUUCCUUAAGAAGGACAAAUAGUUUUUCAGGCCAGCCAUUAGGAAAACAGGAGACACAAAAGACUGAAAUCAAUGAAAAGUCAGGUCUUGCCACAAAUUCUUUUAGGAGACCAAGAUCCGGUAGCCUAAAUAGUAGGAUAUCUGCAAAGGCAGUUCCAAGUAGCACCAUAUCAAGUACAGUCACUGUACCUACACUGAUGUGGAGUUAUAUAAAAAAGGCACAUCACUCUGAUCUAAAUUCUAUGAUCUCUGAUCUACAAGUUUCUGAAAGCCCCAUAGACAAGUGUAAGACCAUAGUUCUUCUAAAGGGUUCACCAUCAUCCAAGGUUAAACAAUGUCAGCGUGAACUUCAGAAGUUAGUUGAAGUGAUAGAUUUAGACUUUUGUGUUCAAAACCUUCAACUGGCAGACCUUGGUGUAACUGAAGACAAUGAGAUAUUCAAAGAAUGCUGCUCGAACAUAUGCUCACACUUCAACAAAGUUGUAAUGCAGCAUGUAAAGGAUGCUAUUUUCCUGAUGGGGCCCAAAUCCCCAUGUUCUCAAGCCAGUGAAAUGUUAAAAGAUCUGUUUCCUAAUGGAUUUUCUAAUUUUGAAUCUUCUGUUGGUACCUUGACCCAUCAGAGAAGUAUAGAUCAGAGUCAGGCAAAUGCAUCAGCUAACGAGACAAUUAAAAGCAAUAGUCAGAUUAGACCAAAUCAAACCAAAGCUAAUACUGAGAAUCCUGCAAAAGGCAGACUUAAAGGAUACAAAUCUGAGUCCAGGAAUGUAGCUUAUACGCAAUCACCGAAGCCAGUUACCAAGGAGGUGCUUAAGAAGACUUCAGAUUUGGAAAUAAGCAAGACUGGCCCAUUAUCUGGCAAAUCUUCUGAAGGAAGUGGCGUGCUAUUGAGAAUGAGGGAUGACUGUCAGAAGCCUUUAUCACUCACAACACAGAAAACCCAAAAAGCAACUACUCCGACUUUGAAACAGACCAACUUACCAAUCAGUAAACAGUUGGAAUCUUGUGUGUGUGGAGAGAGCGGUGCACAAACAAGCUGUGGUACUUUUCUGUGCUCCAACUGUACUCCAUUUCAUGGUCAUUGUAUAGCAUGCUCUAAAGUGAAUGCAGCCAGAAAAUCAUCCAAGGAAAUGCAAGUUCCUCCACUCAAAGAGAAGAAGAAUAUAGAAGAGCUCAAAGGAAAAGAAGUCGAUACAAGACAACAACAACAGGAAGGCAUCCAGGGCACCAUGAGGUGUUCAGAGUUGCCAGUGAGCCUGCCAGGAUACGAGCAAUACAGAAUAGCCAAGAUUACCUACUCCAUACCUGAUGGCAUACAGGGAGAGGAACAUCCUAACCCUGGGUUACCAUUCCAAGGAGGUGAAUUUGUGGCCUAUUUGCCACUCAGUUCACAGGGGCAGAGUUUACUGCUAUGCCUGGAGGAAGCAUUUAAGCAAGGGUUUACCUUUACUGUUUGCCCAAGUAAUGAUAUUGGCAGAGCAAAAAUAACCUGGAGCAGAAUCCCGCAUAAGACCAAUAUCACAGGAGGGAAGAGUGGGUGAGCUAAAGCCAGUCCCAACUGUCAUUGGGCUAAAGACAGGGUACACCCUGGACAGGUCGCCAGUCUAUAGGCCCUUUCACAUUUGAAAUCCGUUAUCAUAUGAGGAAUGGAUAUCCCGACUCCACAUAUCUCAAAGACUUGUCUGAGGCAUUGAGGACUUGUGGGAUUGAAGGGGUUUAAGUGAAAAUGCAGUGAAAUUUGGAUAUCUUGACUUCAACAGCAACCCCAGUCCUAAUUUGUUUUUGCAUUUAAGUUAAUAUAAAAUAAAUAUGUUUUAGAAUACAUAGUCACUGCUACAUAGUAGUGUAUGAAGAAAAAUACUGAAUUGUGUUGUACCUGUGACAUUUAAAUUCUUGAAGAAUACCAGUAUUUAAUUUCUUAUAGCUUUGUUUAUUGAUCAAAGUAAUUAUUAGAUAGUAUUUUAUACAUCACUGUAUAAACUGAAGGUAAAAUGGUUAUUUCAAGAGUGGUCAGUUCAUAUUGUGUAAGAAAGCAGCUUUUUUGACAUAAAACCUUGAAUCGCUAAGUUUUGAACGUCAACACCAUCAUCGCCUGAUUGUCCAUAUAUUUUGCUUUGUAAAAAAUGUAAAUCAUUUUGCGACAUUAAAUUUUUAUAUCUUAUAAAGUUUUAACACAACACUCACUCACUUUU